GAGGUCGUUGCUCUGUUUUUCUGCAUCGUCUUCCUCGUGCUCUGGUCUGGUGCCUUCAAGCUUGUCGAGCUUAUCUACGUUAGACUUCUCUUCACAUCUCUCUUCAAUCCCAUGGUUCCCAUAUUCUCCAAGUGUCACAGUGAAACUCUCAUCACUUUCAUCUCGUUCAAGUUCGUUGCUGUUUUUAUCCCAGUUCCAGCUCUUCGUUUCGUCGAACACGAUGUCUCGACUCACGAUCACUCUGCGACUUUCUGGAUCAAACAAGCGAUAAGCUUUUGAUC
RNAcentral lists this long non-coding RNA (281 nucleotides) under Brassica napus (rape). RNAcentral's name for it is "long non-coding RNA (BNAP_LNC015006)". The record is from RNAcentral. Lineage: Eukaryota; Viridiplantae; Streptophyta; Magnoliopsida; Brassicales; Brassicaceae.